This 85-nucleotide transfer RNA is filed under the name compost metagenome. RNAcentral describes it as "tRNA-Leu". It matches the Rfam family "tRNA". From Rfam's summary of the family: Transfer RNA (tRNA) molecules are approximately 80 nucleotides in length. Their secondary structure includes four short double-helical elements and three loops (D, anti-codon, and T loops). The record is from RNAcentral.
AAUCGUCGUGGACGAAUUGGUAGAGUCACUGGCUAUAGCGGCCAGGGAAAACAUUGCGUGAGGGUUCGACUCCCUUCGGCGAUUG